GAUGAACGCUGGCGGCGUGCUUAACACAUGCAAGUCGAACGGAAAGGCUCCUGCUUGCAGGGGUACUCGAGUGGCGAACGGGUGAGUAACACGUGGGUGAUCUGCCCUGCACUUCGGGAUAAGCCUGGGAAACUGGGUCUAAUACCGGAUAGGACGAUGGUUUGGAUGCCAUUGUGGAAAGUUUUUCGGUGUGGGAUGAGCUCGCGGCCUAUCAGCUUGUUGGUGGGGUAAUGGCCUAUCAAGGCGUCGACGGGUAGCCGGCCUGAGAGGGUGUACGGCCACAUUGGGACUGAGAUACGGCCCAGACUCCUACGGGAGGCAGCAGUGGGGAAUAUUGCACAAUGGGCGCAAGCCUGAUGCAGCGACGCCGCGUGGGGGAUGACGGCCUUCGGGUUGUAAACUCCUUUCGCUAGGGACGAAGCGCAAGUGACGGUACCUGGAGAAGAAGCACCGGCUAACUACGUG
Molecule: ribosomal RNA, 465 nt
Filed under: uncultured bacterium
Lineage: Bacteria
Description: partial 16S ribosomal RNA
Rfam family: Bacterial small subunit ribosomal RNA
Source: RNAcentral